RNAcentral lists this transfer RNA (74 nucleotides) under Meloidogyne enterolobii. RNAcentral describes it as "tRNA-Pseudo". Lineage: Eukaryota; Metazoa; Nematoda; Chromadorea; Rhabditida; Meloidogynidae. The record is from RNAcentral.
UCCUUCUUGGUGUAGUUGGAAACGUUUUAGUUUCACAACCAAAAUAGGUCAUGGGUUCGAAUCCCGACACGGAA